RNAcentral lists this small RNA (987 nucleotides) under Rattus norvegicus (Norway rat). Its description in RNAcentral is "uncharacterized LOC108352502". The record is from RNAcentral. Lineage: Eukaryota; Metazoa; Chordata; Mammalia; Rodentia; Muridae.
AUGUACUUAGGGAAGGUUGCUAUCAAUACAAGAUAAGGACCCAAGAUGCUAUUUCACAAGGAAUAUGAAGAAUUCUUGUGUAAAUGGGAAACGUGUCUCUGAGUCUGUCAAAAGCUAAAGGCCAUAGCAGAGUUGUAUACACAGGAAGGUACCCGGUGGGCCUCUUUAAGCCUGAUACCCAAGCUGUCUCCAGGACAAACAAGCUCACGCAAGCCCCUAACUAUCAUGAAGAAGAGAAACUUCAGUUUGAGUGGAAAUUAAAUUGCUCAAGAAUUUUGAUAAAGAGGUGUGUUCUCCAAGUAAUAGAAAAUCUUUUCUACAAACAAUCAACAAUGGAUUAAAUUUCAUGGUUCAAGAGGUCUUUUGGAGAGGAAUUUUCAGAAAAGAUCCAGGAAUAAUGGCCGCAGUGAAGCCCUCACUUAAAUGCACUCCAAAGACACAGGGACAUAUGCUCUCCUCCCCAGUCCCUGGCUGGAUCUGAAAAAGGAGGAAAAAGUAAUUAAGCCAUUCUCUCUAAAUUGAGAGAAAACCUGAUUUAGAAUGGCAUAGAACAUACAGAUAUUCUUCGCUGAUACUCAAGAAAAUGAUUGCGAGGAAUUAGUGACUGCCGACCACAGUUUUCAAGUUUGAGGAAUCUACUGACUUCAUGUUAAAAGAGAUGGUGAGACAUGGCGCUGCAUGGAUGAAACUCCAGCAUUCAGGAGCUUGAGGCAGGGGAUGGAUGCCCAGGACCAAAUGGAGGACCCUUCAGACAGGAGCCUGGGUCCUUCAUGAUUGUGUGGAGCACUGUUCCUUGUCCCACAUCCAGAGAAUACCUGGUCCCACUUUUAGAGUUAAUGGAGUGCUCCUGGUCUGAGUCUAACGUUGUAGAAAGAUUAAGGGCAGACCUCUGGCUAAUGAAGACCCAUACUGUAGGUAAGUGCCACGACUUCAACUUCGAAUUGUCACUUCCUUCCGAAAACAUCAGGAUAUCUUUCGAAAAAGAAA